This 228-nucleotide ribosomal RNA is filed under the name uncultured bacterium. RNAcentral describes it as "partial 16S ribosomal RNA". It matches the Rfam family "Bacterial small subunit ribosomal RNA", at positions 568 to 796 of the family's 1533-position model. The record is from RNAcentral.
UACGCAGGCGGCCAUAUAAGUCAGAAGUGAAAGGCUACGGCUUAACCGUAGUAAGCUUUUGAAACUGUAUGGCUUGAGUGCAGGAGAGGAAAGCGGAAUUCCUAGUGUAGCGGUGAAAUGCGUAGAUAUUAGGAAGAACACCAGUAGCGAAGGCGGCUUUCUGGACUGAAACUGACGCUGAGGUACGAAAGCGUGGGGAGCGAACAGGAUUAGAUACCCUGGUAGUCC